UAAAAAUAUUUAAUUUUAUGUAUAUGAGCACACUGUAGCUGUCUUCAGACACACCAUAAGUGGGCAUCAGAUCCCAUUACAGAUGGUUGUGAGCCACCAUGUGUUGCUGGGAAUUGAACUCAGGACCUUGGGAAAAGCAGUCAGUGCUCUUAACCGCUGAACUAACUCUCUAGUCAAGCCUGGAAUUUUCUACAUAGACUGGGCUGGCCUCAAACUUGUAGAGAUCGGCUAGCCUCUACCUCAAUAGUGCUAGGAUUUCGGGCAUGCAAGACCACACCACGCUUAUCAAGUCCAGUUCCUUUUCCAUCACUUCUAAAUCCAACUUUCCUGAUAAGCAGGGAUCGAAGCUUUUGCCUUAAUUUGGUUAAUUGUUCUCAUUAUGAUACUCCUUAAAGGAAGCCUCGUUACUUAGGAAUGGUUUAACCAAGCCGAAGGCAGCCUUUUCCCUGUUCCAGGAGCUGUGUUUCCAUGAAUCCAACCUAGAGUGAUUCUUGUUCCAAAGCCCUCUGAGGAGAGACAGCGGCCAACUCCUCAGGACCUUCCCAGCCUCCAGCUCAGGUGGUUGUGUUUACAUUUCUUUUGUGGCUCUGUCAGAACACGCCCACAUGCUUCUCUUCUGCAUGACCUUGAUCCUCUUUCUCUGCACUGUACUGCGGAUCCGAACUGCACACAAGCUACAUUUAUUUUUCUCUCACCUUUCAUUACCUCCCCUCUUCCCGCUCUCCCUUCCUGACACCUCCCUGGUCCACCAUGGGAGUAUCCACGCUGUUUCCCAGGCAGCUUCCUUCCUUUUAUCAAGUAGUAGACAUGUUCCAACGCAUCGCUGUGCCACUGCCCAAAUGUGUCUCUCCUGGUUGGUUAGCACUUUAGAAUGCAUGCGCUGACAGUGGGACUCUGGUUUCCAAGACACUAAUCUGAUUUGGGAACGCUUCCUCUAAGCAGAUCUCAGAUUUCACUUCCUUGAAGUUCCAAAGCAAAGAACCUCUCCUAGGAGCUGCUCACACAGACAACAUUCUCCAUGAAAAAAGUGAAUAGUCACCGUUCCUUCCUCACACAGUUAAAAGAGGAUCAGCUUGGGUGACAGGCGGCAGCUGGAAACGGCCUGUAUUCAAAUCCUAGAACUAUUGUUCUCAGCCUGGGUGUUCCGGGUCUAGCGAUCCAAUGCUAGAAUGGUGGCAGCAACUGUGGCCAACUCUGGGACCUACUGUGAGGAGUUAAAUCACUCAGAGCAUUUAGAACAAGGUCUAGCCCUCGAAUAGUUAAAAACAGCUAUUGUUAUUAUUAUUAUUAUCCCCAGAGUUGUAAAAGGUCCUUCUUGUGUCUUUGCAAACCUUGGUGUGGAGGUGCCUUUAUAAGGAAGCGGACUUUCAGACAGAGGCUCAGGGUCAUUUGUGAAUGAAUGCCCUCAAUCUGGGUUAUUUAAGAGGAAGACUAAAGGCCAGAAAACCUGCAAUCUACCAGAGCUGAGCCCCAGACUUAGAGCUUCCUUUCCUGCGGACUGGAAAACAAGAAAGCAGAGACAACAAUCAACAAACCCAUUUCAGACAGAAAUAAGCCUAGGUGGCUCCUAGCUGGACUUGACAAAAGGGGCUAAAAAGUUACAGUCUCCAGAUUUAAAAAAAGCAAGAAAACACCACCUCUCCUGUCCCUUCAAAACUUUUAUUUCUUGGUCAUAGAGCUGUUUAGUAUGAAAUUCUAGAAAAUAUCAAGGGUCCCACAGACCCUUUUUUGUCACGCUGCAUGGUUCACGGGUAGACUACACUAACAUAUAAGAAAUUAGUUUAAGUUGUGUCAAAUCACCUUAAAACACAUUAAGUAAAUGGGAAGCGACAGAACAAAGAAAGUGAUUAAGCUGGUUUAACCGCAUUCAAGCACACUGUGCUUAAUCCCCUUCAGGGGUUCACGUUAAACAACAAAUUCGGUUUCUUGGCCUAAAUCUUUUUUCUUAAAAGAACACUUUCUUGCAAGUGUAAUGUCUGCUUAUGGUCUUUUCAGUCCCCGGGAAAGAAAAGAAUUUACCUGAUUGGGUUGCAAUUUUAGGACAAUAUCGACUAGAAAACAGAAACAGAGGGCGAUGGGUUAUACAAUUCUUGGAACUACUGAGGCAUGGAAAGUGUGUGAUUGUUCAGCCCCAGAAAAAAGCCAGUUAGUGACACCCGGGUUGAGGACUUCAUCCAGCAGCGAAUUAAAUAAGGCUGCGAGAGAAAGAAUAAGGUGUAAUUAAGCCGGUGUUGUUCGUGCCUGCUUACGGGGCCUGGCAGUAAUUUGGUUGAACACCCUUCAUCUUGAGAAAUUUGGCAGUAAGCUGGCACGAACCCAGCCCAAUAUUGCAAAAUCUGGGAAAUGUCGAAAUGUGGCUGGCUCACUAAACUUUUCCGGGGUCUUUCGAAUCAUUUCUUUUUUUCCUUCCUCUCGGAUUCAGAGAGCAGCGUGCCUCUUCAGAGAAGUCCACGAGUUUUUCUUUUUAAAGCACAAAGUCAAGGAAGCGUAGUCGUAAGGGCUGCCAUCAACUUUCCUGACUUCGACCUUUGUGUGCACACAGGGGGCGGGGGAGAAAAAGGGUUGCGACUGCAAAAGCAGAGUUCCCGCGGUUGGUAGCCCUUUAAAAAAAAACCCCAACAACCAGUACUCCGGUUUCCGGAGUGAGAGCCAGGCGCGCCACCCUUCGCCCCAGCCCACUCCCUGUUCUUUUUAAAAGUCCAGAGAGGUCGCCAGGCUAAAUGACAUGUGGCCAACUCUGGCUGCCUGGGCCCAAGUUGCUCCAACAAGCUUCUCGAAAGUGGCUGCAAGUUCUCUGCCGGGGAAAGCGGCCAGUUCUAGAAAGUCCCGGGUCCGGUUCCCACGGAAGCGGCGCCCCCGACGCCUCCGUCGAGGCUGCGGCGAGCGGCAGGGGGCAGCAGCGGGAACCCGUUGUUCUGGAGGCGGGGUGGGGCGGGAAGCGCCCCCCACCUCGGCUUCCGCGCCCUCCCCUCCCCCCUCGCGUCCCUCCCCUGAGCAGAGAGGAGGGCGGGGACGCCGAGCCCUCCCCCGGGAAGGAGGGGGCCUGCUCGGCGCGCACCCCUCCCCCCCGGCCGGUUCUCCUGGCGCCCCGAGGCGGGAGUUUCCAGGAAGAGCUCAGAGCGCGGCCGCACCACCGGGCGCACGGACACGUUAAGUAGUUCCUCCGCGCGGCCUCAUUUGGAGGGCGCUCUCCCACCGUCAGGGCCGGCCCGGGUCGGAACCCGGAAGAGAUAGGGAGUGGUAGCUUGGCCGCGGGGACUUCAGGGCCGAGAGGUCUUAGAGGCCACUUUCGGUCCCUGGGGGAUGUGAGGGGGCGGCACAACGAGUUCCGGCCUAGGGCUCGGGCGCGCCCGGUGGAGUGAAGCGCCGCGCGCUCGAAGCGCUCACAGAGUUAAAGUGGGCGGGAAAACCCGGAGCGGACUCUUCGGGAGCACGCCCAGGCCCUCCCGCCCCGCUCUUCGUGGGGGAGGGGAAGGAGACGCCAGGAGUCCCGGUCCUGGGCUCCCGAACCCCCACACAGGAGAAACAGGUGUCCGCCCGUCCCCUCUAAGGGCCCCCCGCAGGCCUCGGGGGGCCGGGUGUCGCAGGGAGGGCGGGGCGGCUCCUCCUCUCCCAGCGUGCGCACCGUCGGUGCUCGCUGCGCUGGGGCAGCGAACCUCCGGAGCCAGCGGGCAGGAGGAGCGCGGCGCGCAUGCGUGCGGUGGGAGCGCGCGUCCCGCCCCUUUCCUGAGCGAGUUCGCUCUUCCCCUCCCCCCCGCGUUCCUCAGCCGCCACCUCAAAGUCUUCCCCCGCAGCCCGCGCGCUCUGCUCGGGGGAGGCGGCCGGUCUCGCCCGUCCACUGACUAACCCCUUCACCCCAGUUUCGCCCCGCCUCUGCCGAGCUCCGGUACAAACUCCGCAGCCAAGGGCUCGCCUUUCGCAUUCCCGCCUCCGCCCUCCCUCUCCCUCCCAACCCUAGAGCACUUCCUGCAAACUGCCGGGCUGCUCGGCUGCUUUCCGUUUGCGGGCGCGGCACCACCCUGUACCCUAGCUCCCUCUGCCUAGCCUGCUCCAUUUUACAGAUGGGGAACUCAAGGUCGACCCCUGGAGUUUUUUUUCCAAAAUGAAGCACGGGAACUGCCAUACUGGAAGGGCAAACCUCGACUUUCCACAAUUUAAGCUACUUCAGCUUCAGUCUUAAGCCUCCCGGGACCCUGCUGUCCCUCUGGUCUAAGGCAGCCCAGUUGGCCUGUGCCAGUGAAGCCGUUGACCCCAGGUCAUGAGAAAGACUUCUAAUAGAGGGGAGGCGAGAUAUUUGGCAAAUAUUUGUAUUUGCUUUUUUGUGACAGUCUUAGCCCAGGCUGGCCUGGAAUUCUACCUCAGGAUGACCUUGAAUUCCUGAUCCGGCCUCCAAGUGCUGGGAAUCCAAAUACAGGGAGGGCCUCAAGCUUGCAACCAACUGAGCUACACCCCUGCCUUUAGUCAUUUAUUUAUUUAUUUAUUUAUUUUUGGAGCUGGGGACCAAACCCAGGGCCUUGCGCUUCCUAGAUAAGCGCUCUAUCACUGAGCUAAAUCCCCAGCCCCAUUUAGUCAUUUAAAAACACAAUCUGUAUUAUUUUCCCUUAAAUUUUAUACUUUAGUUAUUCUAGAGACCAGUCUUUUGAGUUUUGAAAACACUUUUCCCCCCUCCCCUGAAAACACUUUUAAAGAAUGUACUCCUUCAAUAACAUAAAUCACACCAUUUGGGAGAGGUAAAGACUCCAGAUGUGGCUUAGGCUAGCCUUGAACCCUCGAUCCUACUGCCUCAGCCUCCACAUCUGGCUCUAUUUUAUCUUAAGAGAUAACUUUUCUAUUAGUACUGUUGGACUUAUUUUCCGGGGCACUCCCAGGUCCCUAAUGUCAGUUCUUCCUUGGGCUUCAGGCUCUAAUUAUAGUUAGCUCAUGUCCGUAAGAGACUUGCAAGAGAACUGAUGAAGCCAAGAGAAUCCUCUGUGUGUGUGUGUGUGUGUGUGUGUGUGUGUGUGUGUGUUUGCAUGGGUUAGAGGACAACUUGCAGGAAUCUGUCUACCGUGUGGGCUCGUGGGAACUGAUCUCUGGUUAUCAGCUCUUUCCCUGUUGAGCCAUCUGUGUGCCCCAUACCAGAAAUGUAAGGGAACAACAGAAGACUUAGGUUGUAGUCUCCAUAUUUUGUGAUUCCUUACUUCAGACUUAACUGUUUUGAGGGUUUCAUUGUAAACCUUGUAAAUAUGGAGUUGGUUUUGUUCAUUAUCGAUUUGCUUUGUCUUUUCCUCCCCUCUUGACAGGGCUGCUCUGUGUACCCCUGGCUGUCCUGGAACUCUUAAAAACAUCUACCAGCCUCUGUCUCCCUAGUGUUGAGAUUAAAGGCAUGCACCACCAUAUUUUCUUGAGACGGGGUCUCCCACUGAACCUAAAGUUUGCCAAUUCAGCUAGAUCGGCUGGUCAGGCAAGCCUCCAGAAUCUUCCUGUCUCUGCUUCCGUGUUGGAAUUACAAAAAAAAAAAAAAACAAAGUCAAAUUCACGACUGAGCUCCUACUGCAGGCCCUGGGCGCUGGAAUUCCCGGUGUAGACUUGCAUGCUUAGCUAAGAAAAUCAAACUACUUUUUAGCCAAUUUAGAAAAUGGUAUACAUUUUUUUUUUUUUUCUGGAGCAAAGGUCUCGCUCUAACUGGGACUAACUUAGUCCCUUUUAAGUAGCUAUGGACCUAAGGCUAACCUUUAACUUAUAGCAUUCGCCUGCCUCACCUUCCUCACUACUGACACCACCCUGCUCACCACCCUGCUUGGGAUGUCCUGAUUCUGCAGGGUUCUGAAGAUUCCCCUGGGCUUCUGCUUGGCCUUCAGGGUCUGCUGUUGGACCCUAGUCUGCAAGCCGAUCCUCCGAGCGUCUGGGCUGAAGAUAGUAUAAACCAGGUUUUCAGCUCAAACCUAUUUCAUUUCUAACAUUUAAAUUCAGAAGUUAAAUCGGAAGAAUGUCAAGAGCGUUGUCUUUCUUAAGUAAAAUGAAAAAAUUACAUAUGGAAAAUAUAUUACUUCUUCUUGAAUCCAGGGAUAAUUUCCAGAACUCUCGUGUGUUAUUGCAUCGACACUCAACCUACAGCAGUGUCUUGGAGAAGUUAGAGUCGUUUUGCUGUCGUUUAUGCCGCUCACUGAAUGGGCACUAUGUGACUCUUGAGGGGAAUCACAUUAUAAGACCAAAGAGGCUUCUGUCUGCAGUUUCACCGCUUUAGAGACUGAAGCAGGAGUAUUGUCAGGAGGCCAAACUUAGCCCGAGCUACACCGUAAACUUCAGGCCAGCCUGGGCUAAAGAGUGAAGCUCCCAAAAGAAAAGGUAUGCACAAGAAGGGGCAGUGAGAUGGCAUCUUUCUGCCAAAUCUGAAAACUGGAGUUGGAUCCCUGGACCCCACAUGGUGGUAGGAGGGAACCAACUCUUGCAAGUUGUCGUCCAACCUCCGCAUGUGUACACACUCACACUAUAUACACAGACACACACAGUGAGAGAAUUAGGACUCAGUUGACACAGCUUUACCACCCAAGCAGGUGGAGCCGAUGUAAAUUCCCCAAACCAGAAUGGAGCAAACACUUGUAAUCUCUUACCAGGAGGCAGCGUAGUCUCAGGUCACCGUGAGCCUAGGUCAGAGUGAGAGACUGUCUCAAAAACAAGAUGGAUGGCUUUGGGAGAACUACGCCUGAGAUUGGCCUCUGCUUUCCACAGGAGUGCACACACACGCACCCAUACACAUAUGAAAAUGCCCAUAGCUGUCCAUACAAAAAUUAAGUUGACAGGAAGAGUAACAUGACAGGCUGUCAGCCUCUCAGGUCAGACUGGGAUCCAGGCCCUAUCAUCAGCCUCUGUCUUAGAGCAGAUCAGUAUUGUAGAUUUUGUGUCCAAGCUGGCUGCUGUAUUUACUCACUAAGUUAUCUAGCUUCUGGGUAUUGAACUCAAGGGUCCAUGUGUGCUAGGCAAAUACUCGUUCCUCCUGUUAUAUUCCCAAGUACAUAGAGUGUACUGUGUGCCCCCUUCAUCAUCCCCCCGCCCCCGCCUCGCUCUCUGAGACAAAAAUCUUACUGUGUAACCCAAGCUUCUGGUCUCAAACUUCAUAUCCUUCUACCUAAGAUGUCCAAAUGUUAUGAUACGUGCACACAACCCAACACUCAGCUACGAAGUCUGGAUUCCUCUCCUCUCCUUCCCACCUCCUUUUUUAACAGGGUCUCUCUCACUCUGUUGUUCAGAAGAACUAGAAUUCGCCACGUCCCUGCCUGAUCUUGGAUCUGUGGCAAAUGUCCCAGCUGCCCUACCAAGUCUUAUGAUCACAGAUUGUCUUAUAACCCAGCCUGGUCUAGAAGUCACUGAGGAGCUGAGACCGUCCCUGAACUCCCUGAUGGUUCUCCUUCCCCUUCCCUCGCACGUGUAAAAGUUGAGAUUUUGGAAACUUUACAUUCGUUCAAGAUCACCCAGCAGCUAUUGGAGGAGCCAGGGCAAACCCCAGCUCCCAGACAUCAGUCACGACAGCAACCGAACCCAUCACUGUUUGCAUUUGGAUGGCAAAGGUUGAACCACCCUGAAACUUCUCUUUUCAGUUUGUUUUUAGUUCCCUAGAGCUGGUUCCUUCUAGCAGAAACCCAGAGUGCUGUAACCAAACGUUUCUUGUUUCUUUCAGUUCCCCCACGUGGACUAGGCAGCGAAGGGUUUGAAGUCUGUGAGCCCUGCAGUCGGGAUGCCCCUUUCCUCUCCUAGGUUCACCCAUGCGUCACUAUCAACCUUUUCCUACUUAUGGUUGGCGGCUUUUUGGUACUGUUUGCCUUCUUUCACAGAGGGAUGCAUUUAAUCAGAUACCACCCCAACCUUGUCCUUUGACCUUUUUUUUUUUUUUUCCGGAGCUGGGGACCGAACCCAGGGCCUUGCGCUUGCUAGGCAAACGCUCUACCACUGAGCUAAAUCCCCAACCCCCACAACAUUUUUUUAAAGAUUCGUUUAUUAUGUAUACAGCAUUCUGUCUGCAUGUAUGCCUGCAACCCAGAAGAAGGCAGAUGGUUGUGAGCCACCAUGUGCUUAUUGGGAAUUGAACUCAGGACCUCUGAAAGAGCAGUCAGUGCUCUUAACCUCUGAGCCAUCUCUCCAGCCUCUCCACACAAUUUUUUAAAUAAGAAAAAAAAAAGAAAAAGAAAAAGAAAAAGCAUCUCUAUUUAGUUGAGUGUUAGGGCACCUGCUUCUAAUCCCAGCACUCAGGAGAAAGAAGCAUCUUUAUGAGCUUUAAGGGCCAGCCUAGUCUACAUAGUGAGCUCCAGGCUACCCAGGACUUCAAAAAAAAUAAACACAUAUGUUUAUCCUCUA
Molecule: non-coding RNA, 8331 nt
Organism: Rattus norvegicus (Norway rat)
Lineage: Eukaryota; Metazoa; Chordata; Mammalia; Rodentia; Muridae
Source: RefSeq, a predicted model, not a curated record